AGAGUUUGAUCAUGGCUCAGAUUGAACGCUGGCGGCAGGCCUAACACAUGCAAGUCGAACGGUAACAUUUCUAGCUUGCUAGAAGAUGACGAGUGGCGGACGGGUGAGUAAUGCUUGGGAACUUGCCUUUGCGAGGGGGAUAACAGUUGGAAACGACUGCUAAUACCGCAUAAUGUCUUCGGACCAAACGGGGCUUCGGCUCCGGCGCAAAGAGAGGCCCAAGUGAGAUUAGCUAGUUGGUGAGGUAAAGGCUCACCAAGGCGACGAUCUCUAGCUGUUCUGAGAGGAAGAUCAGCCACACUGGGACUGAGACACGGCCCAGACUCCUACGGGAGGCAGCAGUGGGGAAUAUUGCACAAUGGGGGAAACCCUGAUGCAGCCAUGCCGCGUGUGUGAAGAAGGCCUUCGGGUUGUAAAGCACUUUCAGUUGUGAGGAAAAGUUGGUAGUUAAUACCUGCCAGCCGUGACGUUAACAACAGAAGAAGCACCGGCUAACUCCGUGCCAGCAGCCGCGGUAAUACGGAGGGUGCGAGCGUUAAUCGGAAUUACUGGGCGUAAAGCGCACGCAGGCGGUUUGUUAAGCUAGAUGUGAAAGCCCCG
Molecule: ribosomal RNA, 600 nt
Filed under: uncultured bacterium
Lineage: Bacteria
Description: bacterial SSU rRNA
Rfam family: Bacterial small subunit ribosomal RNA
Source: RNAcentral